GACGAACGCUGGCGGCGUGCUUAACACAUGCAAGUCGAACGAUGAAGAAAAGAAUUGAAGCUUCGGCAGAAAUUCAUUUCGGAUUAGUGGCAGACGGGUGAGUAACGCGUGAGCAACCUACCUCUUACAAAGGGAUAGCCUCGGGAAACCGGGAUUAAUACCAUAUAACAUUGCGACGAAGCAUUUCGAUGCAAUCAAAGCUACGGCGGUAAGAGAUGGGCUCGCGUCCCAUUAACCAGAUGGUGAGGUAACGGCUCACCAUAGUAACGAUGGGUAACCGGCCUGAGAGGGGGAACGGUCACACUGGAACUGAGACACGGUCCAGACUCCUACGGGAGGCAGCAGUGGGGAAUAUUGCACAAUGGAGGGAACUCUGAUGCAGCGACGCCGCGUGAGUGAUGAAGGAAUUCGUUUCGUAAAACUCUGUUCUAGGGGAAGAAAAGGACUGUACCAUAGGAGAAAGCUCCGGCUAAAUACGU
RNAcentral lists this ribosomal RNA (479 nucleotides) under uncultured bacterium. RNAcentral's name for it is "partial 16S ribosomal RNA". It matches the Rfam family "Bacterial small subunit ribosomal RNA", at positions 28 to 506 of the family's 1533-position model. The record is from RNAcentral.